AUUCCGGAAAAGAGCUAUCUAACAGGAAGCUAUAUAUAAUUUAUUUAGUGCGUGAAAAGCCGCACAUAUAGAAAAAAGACGAGAAGACCCUAGAAAUUUUUUAAAAGUUCAGUAAAUUCUAUUUUGUUGGGGCGACAUAGUAACACUUAACCUACUAUAUUAACAUGCUACUUAUAAGACGUAAGAUAAAAUUACUCUAGGGAUAACAGCAUAAUUUAUUAUUAAGUUUGUGACCUCGAUGUUGGACUAGGAAAUAUUUUAU
This 262-nucleotide ribosomal RNA is filed under the name Trochulus villosus. RNAcentral describes it as "partial 16S ribosomal RNA". Lineage: Eukaryota; Metazoa; Mollusca; Gastropoda; Stylommatophora; Hygromiidae. The record is from RNAcentral.